RNAcentral lists this ribosomal RNA (286 nucleotides) under uncultured soil bacterium. Its description in RNAcentral is "partial 16S ribosomal RNA". It matches the Rfam family "Bacterial small subunit ribosomal RNA", at positions 26 to 339 of the family's 1533-position model. The record is from RNAcentral.
AGAACGAACGCUGGCGGCAUGCCUAAUACAUGCAAGUCGAACGAACACUUCGGUGUUAGUGGCGCACGGGUGCGUAACGCGUGGGAAUCUGCCCUUGGGUUCGGAAUAACAGUUGGAAACGACUGCUAAUACCGGAUGAUAUCGAAAGAUCAAAGAUUUAUCGCCCAGGGAUGAGCCCGCGUAGGAUUAGCUAGUUCGGUGAGGUAAAGGCUCACCAAGGCAACGAUCCUUAGCUGGUCUGAGAGGAUGAUCAGCCACACUGGGACUGAGACACGGCCCAGACUCC